CAACAAUUUAAAAAAAUUACAAAGCACAAACACAUACCACUUUUACAUGGAAAAUAUGGCCUGUUCAAAUUUUAAAAAAUUGACACAAACCAUCACCAAGGAAGCCCAGAUAUUGGACUUACUAGAUAAGGUCUUGUUGUUGAGAACAGAAUAUCUUAAUAUUAUAAUGUGAUAGCUCUGGAAAUCGAAUUCUCCACCUUCCUCAGCAUUUACUUUUCACUGUUUGUCUGUAAUCAUCUUUUGACCCAGUAACUUUCCCAUCCCUCUUGCCCAGAGACCCGAUCCCCUGUCAGGUGUGCCCCUGGUGCUCAGCGAGGGUGUGGACCGGGGCUGCCUUGCCUGACAGGCACGCAGACCUCGCCUGCCUCCUUUGGUCCUCUCCUCGAAGCUCUGCACUGUGAUUCGCAUUCUGAGCACCGGGAUCAGCCAAAGAUGAACCCUAAGGUCUCUCCAGGACUUUUCUGCGCAUGAAUCUCGUCAUGGGUGUGGGUGUGGCUUUGCAAAUUCUCCUGGAUACACCUGCACUUUUGAAUGCCCUGAGUCUCCAAAGAAAUUCUCUCCCUGAUCUUUUCUCCCACUGCGUGGGUCAUCUGUCGGGUCUCAGUCUUGCUACAGGUUGUUUCCCGCCAUCCAAUGCGCCAAGGAUCGAACUCUGGUCCUUGCGCUUUCCAGGCAGGCGGUGGAACCACUGAGCUAAAUCCCGGCCCCACGUGUGCAUUUUUUGAAAGAACAGCCGGACUACCUUCACUUCUCUCCUGCAUCGCUUCUUUGCACAGGCUGCUUUUCUGGGACUGUCCGUGUCAACGUCGCCGGUAGCCCGGUAGCCCCUGUCACCCCCGGAGCCCUGGGACGGCGGCCUACCCGCUGCGGUGCCCUCUUCCUGGACCGCUCUGCCUCAUCCCUCCAAUCUUUCCUCCCCAGCUCGCCAGCCCACUCUGAGCCCUGUCACGUCGUUGCUGGGUGGAUCUUUCCUGAGCACGCUCCCCUGGCCCCUCACAGAGUCCUGUCACCAGCACCUCCUGUUCCUCUCCCGCCACAGUCGCCCUCUCUGGGCUUCUUCCUCCUCCAACCGCACCCUAGCCCCCUGCCACCCUCAGCUCCUUCCAGGCCAGUCUCCCCAGAGCCUCAGGGUCACCGGACCCUCCUGCAGCGAGGACUCAGUCUCCGGGACCCCGGGUCUCGUUCAGGCUCACAGUGCCCUCCCCUGUCUUGCUGUGGCCAGGGCAGACACCUCUUCCAGUCCCUCUCCCUGUCACUGGGGCCUGAAAUACGGAUGUGCCAGCGGUUUGGGUGUCUUCGGUCACCAAACACCCAGCAUAAACAACGUGAAGAAGGAAGCACUGGCUUCGGCUCCAGCUUCAAAGCUGUGGCCCCUGGGUCCCCUUGCCUGGGCCGGGCAGUCCAGCCCAUCGUGGAGCCUGAGCUUGGCAGGGGUGGAGAGGGGCCUGGCUGGGUCCAGGUGACCCCCCUGAGUGCACUCGGGCCCCAACUUCCUCCUGACGACGACGUCACAGUAUAUUCUGCUCAAAACCAGAAGAGACCACAACCGUCACUGUGCAGGCUUAAGAACGUGACGAGCCAGGCACGGUGGCCUACACGGCGACCCCACCACUCAGGGGAACGAGAGGGUCCCAAGUCCAGCCCAGCCGAGGCUACGCAGUGAGUGCAGGGCAGGCAGAAACCAGUGAGAGAGUGAGCCACUCACCCGAGCCCCCAGGCCCCUGCUCCACCCUGGCAGGCGGGCGGUUGUCAGCUGUCCCUGACUGCCAGGCUGCCAGGAAACCAGCCCAGGGGCCUAGGAGCCCCAGCAGGCAGGCCUCUCGGUCACGGCGACAGGGACGCCUCUCCUCUCCCUGAGCCAGGCCACCUGCACCUGCCCCUGCUCCGAGGCCUGUCCUCUAUUUUAAUUAACGGGUCGUGCUGGGACUGCUCCACCCUGGCACAAGCUCCGUGCCUUAGUGCUGUCCAGGGAGAAGGAAAGAACAAGGCCUCAUUACUCGCAUCUGUGCUCAACAAGGGAAGCAGAUGCCACUGCCUCUGAGCCAGUCCGGCCGCCAGCAACCGAAGCAUGAGGCCAAACUUGCUUCCGCCAUGCGAAGGACCCAGGAGGAGCCGGGAAAAAGUGGUAACCGCCGCGGUGAGGGCCUCAGAGGCUGGAGACUGUCCCUCACAGGAGGGUCCUGGGAAGGGCGGCACGGGCUUGAAGACGUCUUCAGAGGUGGUUCCUGGCGUUAGCACAGACCCCGGGCUCCUUCUGUCGUGAGUCUCACCUGCGUCGGAACCAGCUGCUGCGCCUCCCACUUCUGAGACUUCCCUGAAGGCCUCGCCCACUGACAGAGCCUUCCCAGGUCUUCAGCGAUGCAGACGAGUGAGUGUGUACUCACGCGUGUGUGGGCAUGUCUCUGCCCUGACGUUGGAAGAAAGUUGCCAUUGUGCCUUUUAAAUCCCUGUUAGCCAAUAAAACAACCAAG
Molecule: long non-coding RNA, 2471 nt
Filed under: Heterocephalus glaber (naked mole-rat)
Lineage: Eukaryota; Metazoa; Chordata; Mammalia; Rodentia; Bathyergidae
Description: lncRNA (ENSHGLG00000035057.1)
Source: RNAcentral